CGAACGGGUGAGUAAUAUAUCGGAACGUGCCCAGUCGUGGGGGAUAACGUAGCGAAAGUUACGCUAAUACCGCAUACGAUCUAUGGAUGAAAGCGGGGGACCGUAAGGCCUCGCGCGAUUGGAGCGGCCGAUAUCAGAUUAGGUUGUUGGUGAGGUAAAAGCUCACCAAGCCGACGAUCUGUAGCUGGUCUGAGAGGACGACCAGCCACACUGGAACUGAGACACGGUCCAGACUCC
RNAcentral lists this ribosomal RNA (237 nucleotides) under uncultured bacterium. RNAcentral's name for it is "partial 16S ribosomal RNA". It matches the Rfam family "Bacterial small subunit ribosomal RNA", at positions 99 to 339 of the family's 1533-position model. The record is from RNAcentral.